This 467-nucleotide ribosomal RNA is filed under the name uncultured bacterium. RNAcentral's name for it is "partial 16S ribosomal RNA". It matches the Rfam family "Bacterial small subunit ribosomal RNA", at positions 28 to 507 of the family's 1533-position model. The record is from RNAcentral.
GAUGAACGCUGGCGGCGCGCCUAACACAUGCAAGUCGAACGAUUAAAGCACCUUCGGGUGUGUAUAAAGUGGCGAACGGCUGAGUAACACGUGGGCAACCUGCCCCUUUCAUUGGGAUAGCCACGGGAAACCGUGGAUAAUACCGAAUACUUCGAGACUUCCGCAUGGAAGACUCGAGAAAGCUCCGGCGGAGGGGGAUGGGCCCGCGGCCUGUUAGCUUGUUGGUGGGGUAACGGCCUACCAAGGCAAUGAUGGGUAGCUGGGUUGAGAGACGGACCAGCCAGAUUGGGACUGAGACACGGCCCAGACUCCUACGGGAGGCAGCAGUGGGGAAUCUUGCACAAUGGGCGAAAGCCUGAUGCAGCGACGCCGCGUGCGGGAUGAAGGCCUUCGGGUUGUAAACCGCUUUCAGCAGGGACGAGGCGAAAGUGACGGUACCUGCAGAAGAAGCCCCGGCUAACUACGUG